Molecule: transfer RNA, 72 nt
Filed under: Camelus bactrianus (Bactrian camel)
Lineage: Eukaryota; Metazoa; Chordata; Mammalia; Artiodactyla; Camelidae
Also listed under: 2 other names
Rfam family: tRNA
About the family: Transfer RNA (tRNA) molecules are approximately 80 nucleotides in length.
Source: Rfam by way of RNAcentral
GAGGGUGUAGCUCAGGGGUAGAGUGUAUACCUAGCAUGCCUGAGGUCUGAGGUUCAAUCCCCAGUACCUUCA